AGAAAGAGCCAGGCAUGUAUAGGCAGGAACCAGUAGAUACAGAGCCUGGGAGAUAAACCUGUGAAGGCAGGUGGGGGCUGUUCGUGGAAGCUCUUGAAUGUCAAGUGGAGACUGAUCUGAAUCCACUUAAGCAAAGAAAGAAAUUCACAAGCAACAGCAGGAAACUCCACCUUCCAUUCCCUCCUCAGGCCUGGCCUCCUGGUUCUCUGUUGGCCCAUGUACUCCUCUGCCAGGCAAAAUCUGCCAGACCCUCCCGGGGGAGCGGAGCUCCGAAUACCAGGGCCGACUCCGCUCCUGAGGCCGCUGAGCCCUCCUGCACCUGUCCGGCCCGGGAAGUGCCAUGGGACAGCUGAUCGCCAAGUUAAUGAGCAUCUUCGGGAACCAGGAGCACACGGUCAUCAUCGUGGGACUGGACAAUGAAGGAAAGACCACCAUUCUCUACCGGUUUGUGGUCUACAGACCAGUCACACAGGCAUCACCUGAAAGCUUAUUAGGAAUGCAAAACCAUGGCCGGGCGCUGUUGCUCUCAAAGUGCCUGUAAUCGCAGCACUUUGGGAGGCCGAGGCGGGCGGAUCACCUGAGAUCAGGAGUUCAAGAGCAGCCUGGCCAACAUGGUGAAACCUCGUCUCUACUAAAAAUACAACAACAACAACAACAA
Molecule: long non-coding RNA, 658 nt
Filed under: Homo sapiens (human)
Lineage: Eukaryota; Metazoa; Chordata; Mammalia; Primates; Hominidae
Description: non-protein coding lnc-ARL5C-1:2
Source: RNAcentral